RNAcentral lists this ribosomal RNA (452 nucleotides) under uncultured bacterium. Its description in RNAcentral is "bacterial SSU rRNA". It matches the Rfam family "Bacterial small subunit ribosomal RNA", at positions 30 to 507 of the family's 1533-position model. The record is from RNAcentral.
AUUGAACGCUGGCGGUAUGCCUUACACAUGCAAGUCGAACGGUAGAGGGGCAACCCUUGAGAGUGGCGAACGGGUGAGUAAUACAUCGGAACGUGCCCAGUCGUGGGGGAUAACGUAGCGAAAGUUACGCUAAUACCGCAUACGCACUGAGGUGGAAAGCAGGGGAUCGCAAGACCUUGCGCUAUACGAGCGGCCGAUGUCAGAUUAGCUAGUUGGUAGGGUAAAGGCCUACCAAGGCGACGAUCUGUAGCGGGUCUGAGAGGAUGAUCCGCCACACUGGGACUGAGACACGGCCCAGACUCCUACGGGAGGCAGCAGUGGGAAUAUUGGACAAUGGGCGCAAGCCUGAUCCAGCCAUGCCGCGUGAGUGAUGAAGGCCUUAGGGUUGUAAAGCUCUUUCAGUGGGGACGAUAAUGACGGUACCCACAGAAGAAGCCCCGGCUAACUUCGUG